Molecule: ribosomal RNA, 444 nt
Filed under: uncultured prokaryote
Description: bacterial SSU rRNA
Rfam family: Bacterial small subunit ribosomal RNA
Source: RNAcentral
UGAGGAAUAUUGGACAAUGGAGGCAACUCUGAUCCAGCCAUGCCGCGUGUAGGAAGACUGCCCUAUGGGUUGUAAACUACUUUUAUAGAGGAAGAAACCGCUCUACGUGUAGAGCUCUGACGGUACUCUACGAAUAAGGAUCGGCUAACUCCGUGCCAGCAGCCGCGGUAAUACGGAGGAUCCAAGCGUUAUCCGGAAUCAUUGGGUUUAAAGGGUCCGUAGGCGGGUUUGUAAGUCAGUGGUGAAAGUUUUCGGCUCAACCGGAAAAUUGCCAUUGAUACUGCAAGUCUUGAAUCAUUAUGAAGUGGUUAGAAUAAGUAGUGUAGCGGUGAAAUGCAUAGAUAUUACUUAGAAUACCGAUUGCGAAGGCAGAUCACUAAUAAUGUAUUGACGCUAAGGGACGAAAGCGUGGGUAGCGAACAGGAUUAGAUACCCCCGUAGUCC